UUACGGAAGGCAGCAGUUGGGAAUCUUGGACAAUGGGGGAAACCCUGAUCCAGCCAUGCCGCGUGAGUGAUGAAGGCCUUCGGGUUGUAAAACUCUUUCGCGCACGACGAUAAUGACGGUAGUGCGAGAAGAAGCUCCGGCUAACUUCGUGCCAGCAGCCGCGGUAAUACGAAGGGGGCUAGCGUUGUUCGGAAUUACUGGGCGUAAAGCGCGCGCAGGCGGCUAUCCAAGUCAGUGGUGAAAGCCCGGAGCUCAACUCCGGAACUGCCAUUGAAACUGUUUAGCUUGAGUAUGAGAGAGGUGAGUGGAAUUCCCAGUGUAGAGGUGAAAUUCGUAGAUAUUGGGAAGAACACCGGUGGCGAAGGCGGCUCACUGGCUCAUUACUGACGCUCAGGCGCGACAGCGUGGGGAUCAAACAGGAUUAGAUACCCGCGUAGUCCC
Molecule: ribosomal RNA, 441 nt
Filed under: uncultured bacterium
Lineage: Bacteria
Description: bacterial SSU rRNA
Rfam family: Bacterial small subunit ribosomal RNA
Source: RNAcentral